This 69-nucleotide transfer RNA is filed under the name Myrmica karavajevi. RNAcentral's name for it is "tRNA-Leu". It matches the Rfam family "tRNA". Rfam says of the family: Transfer RNA (tRNA) molecules are approximately 80 nucleotides in length. Their secondary structure includes four short double-helical elements and three loops (D, anti-codon, and T loops). The record is from RNAcentral. Lineage: Eukaryota; Metazoa; Arthropoda; Insecta; Hymenoptera; Formicidae.
UUUAAUAUGGCAGAUUUAAGUGCAAUGGAUUUAAAAUCCUUAAAUAAAGAUACCCUUUUAUUAAAAAUA